Molecule: long non-coding RNA, 754 nt
Filed under: Mytilus galloprovincialis (Mediterranean mussel)
Lineage: Eukaryota; Metazoa; Mollusca; Bivalvia; Mytilida; Mytilidae
Source: RNAcentral
GUGUGUUACGAUAGGCAAUAGCUAACUUUGAAAGAAACGGUGGUCUCUGCUGAUUUACUUUCCAUUACAAAAGAUGAUCAUAUUCCAUCAUAUUACAAUCCUCAGACAAAUACUUAUUAACUUCCAGAGGAAUGACUUAUGCUUGUUGAAGUAAGAAAGCCAACAAAGUUAUUAUCACUCUCUUUUUUCAUUUUUGAUUGUGGGUUAGAUGUGUGAUUUGUUAUUUCCAUAACUUUGUCCUUGAUUAGAGAAAUGUUUUUUUUCUCAGAUUCAGGUUCAUUAUCAAACCACCUCAGCUUUAUCUGGGGUCCAAAAUUGCGGAGGAUGUAUGCUGUUUCAUAAACUCUCAACAGAUUAGGUUAAUUUUGAAAUCAUUUUGGAAUUGGAUUUAGAUGCUCUUUGUCGCAUUUGGUGUUUGAGACCAAGAGUAACUGUUUCUGUUGCAUUGGAUGACUUUCUUACAAAACUUAAGUUUUUUAAGCUUUGGCAAUAAACUGCUUCCUAUAUGAGCUACAUUCAUUUAGACCAUCUUUGGCGACUAGUUGGAGAAUGUGGGCAUAGCAGGGUAUGUGUUUUAGAAGACGGUCAAAGGUAGGAAUAGGUUUGUCCAAAUGUUCUCUGUACUCCUUUUUCUUAUCCUUUCACCGUUAUUGGCAUAUACAUUUGUAGUUGUUCACUAUAACUAUACUAAAUUAUUCAAAUAGAAUUUCUACCACUACUUUUCUCCCUUCUUUUUCUAAUAUGACAAAGAAUU